Molecule: ribosomal RNA, 459 nt
Filed under: uncultured bacterium
Lineage: Bacteria
Description: partial 16S ribosomal RNA
Rfam family: Bacterial small subunit ribosomal RNA
Source: RNAcentral
CCUACGGGAGGCAGCAGUGAGGAAUAUUGGUCAAUGGGCGGAAGCCUGAACCAGCCAAGUAGCGUGCAGGAUGACGGCCCUACGGGUUGUAAACUGCUUUUAUACGGGAAUAACGCGCCUUACGUGUAGGGCUUUGCAUGUACCGUAUGAAUAAGGACCGGCCAAUUCCGUGCCAGCAGCCGCGGUAAGACGGAAGGUCCGGGGGUUAUCGGGUUUUAUUGGGUUAAAGGGAGCGUAGGCCGCAUGUCAAGGGUGCUGUGAAGUGUCCGGGCUCAACCCGGGCCUUGCAGCGCGAACUGGCGUGAUUGAGUCCGCGGAAGGCAGGCGGAAUUCGUGGUGUAGCGGUGAAAUGCUUAGAUAUGACGAAGAACCCCGAUUGCGAAGGCAGCUUGCUGCAGCGGAACUGACGCUGAUGCUCGAAAGCGCGGGUAUCGAACAGGAUUAGAUACCCCUGUAGUC